AGCUUUGCUCAGUGGCAAUAUCAUAGCCAAGGCUUAUCUGAGGUACGAUUAUUGCUAAUUGAAAACUUUUGACAAGGAUCG
Small nuclear RNA from Loxodonta africana (African savanna elephant), 81 nucleotides. Its record names the gene U4. It matches the Rfam family "U4 spliceosomal RNA". Rfam says of the family: U4 small nuclear RNA (U4 snRNA) is a component of the major U2-dependent spliceosome. The structure of U4 snRNA from yeast and human has been reported. The record is from Ensembl. Lineage: Eukaryota; Metazoa; Chordata; Mammalia; Proboscidea; Elephantidae.